ACGGGAGGCAGCAGUGAGGAAUAUUGGACAAUGGAUGGAAGUCUGAUCCAGCCAUGCCGCGUGAAGGAUUGAUGCCCUACGGGUUUUGAACUUCUUUUGUACGGGGGCAAUAAGGUCCACGGGUGGACCGAUGAGAGUACCGUACGAAUAAGCAUCGGCUAACUCCGUGCCAGCAGCCGCGGUAAUACGGAAGGUCCGGGCGUUAUCCGGAUUUAUUGGGUUUAAAGGGAGCGUAGGCCGUGCUUUAAGCGUGUUGUGAAAUGUAGGCGCCCAACGUCUGCACUGCAGCGCGAACUGGAGCACUUGAGUACGCAGGAAGUAGGCGGAAUUCGUCGUGUAGCGGUGAAAUGCUUAGGUAUGACGAAGAACUCCGAUUGGGAAGCCAGCUUACUGUUGCGCCACUGACGCUGAUGCUCGAAGGCGUGGGUAUCGAACAGGAUUAGAUACCCUGGUA
This 454-nucleotide ribosomal RNA is filed under the name uncultured Prevotella sp. RNAcentral describes it as "partial 16S ribosomal RNA". It matches the Rfam family "Bacterial small subunit ribosomal RNA", at positions 341 to 792 of the family's 1533-position model. The record is from RNAcentral. Lineage: Bacteria; Pseudomonadati; Bacteroidota; Bacteroidia; Bacteroidales; Prevotellaceae.